This 3889-nucleotide long non-coding RNA is filed under the name Canis lupus familiaris (dog). Its description in RNAcentral is "lncRNA (ENSCAFG00845011332.1)". Lineage: Eukaryota; Metazoa; Chordata; Mammalia; Carnivora; Canidae. The record is from RNAcentral.
UUUUUUUUUUUUUUUUUGACAUCUGGCUUCUGAAUCUCAUUUCGUAUGGGCCACCUUUGUGACAGAGUUCAGUCAAUCACUAAACAACCAAUUAAAAUCUGUUGCACAAACUUGCACAAAGAUUUUGCCCACCCUUCCUUCUUUCCACCUCAGAUCCUGAACUGGAGUCUUAGUGCUACAGAAUCAUUCUGGGUUGGAACAUGAGUAGUCAUGUCCUACAGUUAGGGAGAGGAGUUGAGCUCAGAAAUUCAAGUCUUCUGACUUCCGAAGCUCAGUGUUUCUGAAAUAUUCAUUGCCAUCUGCCUUCAGAACUUCUAGGAAACAAGAAAAAGGAAAGGGAAGAAAAAUGGGACCCAUGCUCUGCUGUCAAGGGUCUCAGAACAGUUACUCAAUGUCUUUGGUUUCAGUCUUUUGUAAUCCGCUAUUAGGAGCCUGAGUUAAAUGGUCCCUAAGGUCCCUUGCAGCCCAUAUGAGGCCUACCCUAAUCUUCCUGGGUAUCAAGCCCUGAUACCUAAUUUGUGCUUCUUCUAUCUACUAUUUCUUUAGAAUCUUGUGAUUUGCCAGGCCCAGUAGCUUAGCUAAUGAGCCACCAUCUAUCACAUUGCAUGGGGAGAUGAGUAUAAUUGUCUAGUAUAUUUACAGACACUCACAUCAAACCUCUUUUUAUCCCUGAAGAGUCUAAGAUACCCCAAAAUAUAGUGACUUUUCAUCAGGAAGAGUAAAGAAAUUUUAGUAGAGCAAAACACUCACUAAGAAUCUAUACAGUAGUCCUCCUUAUCCAUGGUUUUAUUUAUAGUUACCCAGUCAGCCAUGGUCUGGAGGCAGAAGAUGCUCCUUCUGAUAUGCCACCAGGAAGUCAGUAGUGGCCUAACGCUAUGUCACAACACCUACGUCAUUCACCUCACCUCAUCUCAUCACGCAGCCAUUUUAUCAUCUCACAUUAUCACAGGAGGAAGGGUGAGUAUAAUAAGAUAUUUUGACAAAGAGAGACCACAUUCACAUAACUUUUAUUAUAGUAUAUUGUUAUAAUUGUCCCAUUUUAUUGUUGUUAAUCUCUUACUGUGUCUAAUUUAUAAAUUAAACUUUUUUAAAAAAAUAAAUUAAACUUUAUCAUAGGUAUGUCUGUAUAGGAAAAAAACAGGGUAUAUAUAGGGUUCACUACUAUUCAUGGUUUCAGGCAUCCCCCGGGGUUCUUGGAACGUAUCCCCUGGGGUUCUUGAAAUGUAUACCCUGUGGGUAAGAGUAGCUACUGUAUUAACAUUUUCUGGCAUUUGCUGAGCACCAACAAUGGGCAAGAUUGGUAGACACUGUAUAUACGUCAUCCAUUUCUCACUAAGACUCUGGAGAUAAUUAUUUCCUCCAUUUUAGGGAUGGGAAGACUGAGGCUUAGAGAAGCUAGGUUGAUUUGCCCAAGGUGAAAACAUGGGUGGGUGGGAUAGGACAUAGUCCAUAUGGUCCCAAAUCUAAUGUUAUUUAUACUGCACUAUGUAUCAGACAGAGUGCUGGCUUCCUUCUUCAUUUCCAGAGCCCUUUGUUUAUACCAAUUAUUCAAGGUCUGACCACACUCAUCCCAUAUUAAAUCCAUUUUUUCCAGAUCUGCCUCACUCAUUGGUCCAUCAAUCAAACAACUGACCUUUACCAGGACACUCACUACAUCUUACUCAUCUCUCUAUUCCCUUGCCCAGACCUAGACAUAGCUCCCAACAGGUAUACAAUAUAUGCUCGCCAACUAGCAUGCAUCAAUAUUCUGAAAACAUCCUCUGCAAUGAAUACCAUGCUGAUGAAUUUUGAUGAAAGGAGCCUUUUUUAAACAUUAUUUUAAGAUAGAAAAAUAAGCAUUUGUCAUACUAUCCAUUAUAAACAUCCUCAGCUAAGCCUCUUUUUUUUUUCUGCCUCAAUUUUAAAAGUUAUGUUUGAUCCAUUGGAAUGGCCUAUAUAGUUUGAAGCUUUUACCAUUGCUAGACCUGUGAUCAGAUUGCUCCCUGGGCAUACACUCAAACACAGGAAGGAGAAAUGUGAUUAGUACCCAGAUUCUCCUGCCAUCCACCCCCUGUCAGUGUCUGGAUCCAUCGUGCUAAUGAGCAUAAUCAUGACUGAUUCAGUCCCUGAGUUUCAUUGUAUAGACUCUAGCCUCCUGCUGAAUCGAAUCUUGAUUUCCCCAGAUUCCUGGGGAGUUCUGAAAAACUGAGAAAAACAAAGAACUCAACAUCAAAGUGAAUCCUUGGCUAUCACAUAUAUUUCCUUGCCCAGAGACCCGUCACUUUGUCAUUGGGACACCUUUCCUUGGUUAAUAUUAGAAUAGAAUUAUGGGGCUCAAACAAGGCAUCUUAUUGAUUCACCGUUAGCCAAGAGGGCCGUCUCUGGAGUGAUGUUCAGGGCUGCUUCUUGGACUUAAAACUUGAAUAGUUCUCUGCCAAUGUUUUUUCCUCUGACAUAAGGGGAGAGUUGGAUUAGAAGAUGCCUGUAGACUCACGUACCAACACCUACACUCUGGCUGGCACAUUAUCAAAUUUACAUUGCUUCCCUAGUGGAAAUUUUUGUAGUUAGGGUAUUUUCUGUUUGAGGCAUUCAGUAAAUCCCAGAUUCAGAGCUGAAGAGAGCUCCAAAAUUCCUAUAAUUAAGCUCUAUAGUAUUACAGGCAGUAGAACUCCCAAAGCAUCACCCGUUCUAGCAGUCAGCCCAGAUUCCAGAACAUAACCUAAAUCCUUCCUCUUGUCCUCAUUUUCAGCACUCCCAUCCUGGUCCAAGCCACUGUCAUCCUUCACCUGGACCACUGCCAUUGCCUCCUAAGUGGUAUUUCAGCAUUGCCCCCGAUGUACCAGCCAGAAUGUUCUUUGAAAGAGAUAAACUAGGUUGUAAUCAUUCUUUUGUUUAAGCCUUCUAGUGAAUUCCCACUACAUUUAGUUUUUUAUUUUUAAGUAUUUUUUAGAAACUGUUUAUUUUCCAUCAACCUUAUUUCCAUUCUGUUCGCUUUUGUGGAAGAGUAGUUUAGGACCACUCAGGGAUUGUUCCUACCCACUCAGUGACCUGAGUGGUGGGAGCUGCAGACCUGAGUGUUUCACUCUUCAGUAUGGAACUAAUGACUAAACACAGGGGGCACCUGUACACCAUUAGACCAGCAUAUGACUUCAGGUUGAGUAGCAGCAAACUCAAGAGCUGGAGCAGUCCAUUCAUCCCGAAAUCCUUCCUGGGUCACAGUCUUUGGAGCAGUGGCCUGCCCUUCCUUUUCAGGAUCUCUGUAGAAGUGGAAAUCAGGCACGACCUCGCACAGGUGGACACAGGAAAUGGUGCCACGCACACACAGAACCUCCUGGGCCAGCAUCCACCACAUCAGAUCCCCGAGUGAGCUCCCUUCUUGCAAGGAAUGGUGAUGUCCACAUAGUUCAGAGGAGAGUCUGUGUUACACAGAAUGACGGUAGGCAGGUUAACAUAGGAUGCCUCUGUGAGAGGGUGGUGGUCAGCCCUGGGAUCACUAACUAGCAGGAGUCUCGGCUCCCAGGAAGCUUCCUGGAUCUGGCUAGCAGAGGUUCUAAGAAUGAAGCGGCCAGCAAUAGGAGUGCUGCAAACUUCAGCCCAGCCCACUGGCCAGUAUUCCUGGAUGAUAUGACACUGACAUCAGCUGGGUUUUCAGUGAACAAUAGCAUGAGCUGCCAACAGAAGCUUCCCCUGGGUCCCCUUCACAUUCAUGAUGUAGAUGCCUUCACUCUUCUUCUGUAGCUGUACUGUUCCAUUUGGAAGUUAAGGUGGUGCCACCCAAGUGGGUUCCUACUGUCCUAAGGAAUCUGAGGACAACCUCCUUUAUUUGCAGGACCUCAAGGGCUCCAGAGAUUGUGAAAGUUCCCCUUUAAGCUACAGUGGGAAUGCAGAACAACAUAUGGACCCCUCCCUG